GAAAUGACAGACAGCUAUCUCUUCUCUAGGGCUUCAGAAUCCCACUGAAGAGCUGCUUCAGCCAGGGACCUUGAGUUCCCAGGGGUAAGGAAGCAGAGCAUCGAGGGAAGCAGGGAGAAAAAGGAAGGGAGAAAUUCCAGUAAAGUACCCAUGCAAGCCACCAAGAUUCCGGGCGAGGUGUCAGAGCCCUAGUAAUGAAAAGUGGUUGACUUACGGGUAGUGAGAAUUUACUGACAACAGCAUUGGUUUGAAAAGGAAAGUUUUGUUAGAAAGAACGCUGCAGAAGAGUGCAGUGGGGCACCUCAGCAAGGGAGGACUGAAUGCACCAUGGUCAGUUUUUCCUUAGGGGCAUUUAUGAAUCUUAAGAGCUUAAGGAUAGUUUGGACCAUAUUAGCCAUGUAGGUCAUGAUAAAUGAUUACAUUUGUAGACAUUUUUGUGCCUUAAUGUCCCUGUUCUAGAAAUGGUCAAUUACAAAGCACAACAUAAGACUGGAACAUUGGAGUUAAGUAGCAGAGAUCAAAACAAAAGCAUUCCCAGAAGCACGGAGAAGUGAGGAGAAAAGGCAAUGCACCUGGAGCUGGAGACCAAGACCCCGUUCUUACUGAUGGCCCUUGGAGCAGAUAUUUGAAUUGGAGAGAUAAAACCGUGGUUUUUGGGGUGUUAAUUUUGGUGGCUGAUGCAUUCUGUGAUUGAUUUGGCUAUUACAACUGGUAUUGAUUUUAAACACAUUAAUUGCAAAAUCUCAAUUGUGAUUUGAUUUCUGUAUUUACAAUACUAAAAACGAGGCUUUCGCCAGGAGAAGACAAUUGGCAGUACUCAGUUGGAAGUGCUUAAUUGUUAAUAUAUAUCAGCCGUGGUUCUUCAGCGUCGUCAGUGUUGCUCAGUCUUGCUCUUUGUGGCGACUACUGAAUGCUUGAAAAAUUCUCUCCUAUACUCCCACUCUGCGCUGUAGAAGAGAAAGAGAGGAGAGUGGAAGAAAAAAGAGAGGGAGAGGAGAAAGAAAGAAAGGAGAGAGAAACAUGGGCAUGGAUGAUACAUAAGAUAAUUCCAGAAGAUUUCAGCAUAGCAGAUAAAAUACAGCAAAUCCUAACCAGCACAGGUUUGAGUGACAAACGGGCCGGUUCCAUGGGCACAGAUGACUUCAUCAGUGGAGACUCAGUUCACUUGAAAAUAGAUGCAAGAAAGACUGGAAUCACAAUUUCAAUGGAAAUUAACAAUUUUUGUUUUCUGACAUCUCCAAAACACUGUAGCAGCUUCUUCCGAAGGUGACAGUAUCGCUGCCUUGGUAGAUCUUGCAGCAUACAUAUUGUUGAUCUUAUCUUCACCAAGCACUUUUAACUGUGGUACGUUGGGCUUUUCUGAAUCAAAUGGAACUUGUUCUAAUAGCAUGAGGGCGGCAUUCAAAACAAUAUUAGAAAAUCGAUAUACAUAAACAUAUAUUAAUUUUAUUUAAAGAAAGAACAAAAUAAACAUCAUUUAUGUUUAAUAUAUUCGUUGACACUGGUCUGAAUUGACAUGCAAAUAUCUUCAUUUCAUCUAUUUAUAAUGGUCAAAGUAUCCUUGAUACCAUAAAUGUCUUGGCAUAAAAAUAUUAAAGGAAAUAGCCCACAAAUUGUAGUAAUAGUAAUAAUGAAGCACAAAUAAGAACAAAAUGUCAGAACUGACACUUCUCCUCCCUAUCAGAACCAUCUUUAGAUUUAUCUGAGUCUGCAAAGAAAUGGGGACCUGUUAAUAUUUUAAUAAUUAGUAAAAAGUGAAGGCUUUUUGACAGAAUUAUGCUAUUGAGAGAAUAUUCCAAAGGUGGAUGUUUGAAAUGUUUUCAUCACCAUAUGCUUAUCUUUUUGCCAAAACAAUGUAAAUGUGUUGCUUAUAAAACUUCUGUUAUUUGUGCACAUUAAAAACAAAUUUUUCUAGACAUUUUUCAUAUUCCAAGCAAAUGGUUUUAAUGGUUUUAAAAUAUAUUUGAUAAACAUAAAAAUAUGACUUCUAAUUAGUAUUAUUUCCAUUUGAGAAUAUAAUCAGCUAUUUGUUGAUUGUCAAUAACAAUACAAUUGACAUAAUUGGUAUUUGGGAUUGAAAAAUGUAUACCAUGAUAUGCUUCCUCUAUAUGGAUUCAUGUAUCUCUAUGAGAUUUUCUUCAGAUAUAUCAGCAUUAAAACAAACCUUUAACAUCCUAUUCAAUAAAUGGUACUGAAAAAAUUAGCCAUAUGCAAAAGAAUGAAACUGGAUCCCUGCCUCUCACCAUAUACAAAAAUGAACUCAAGACGGAUUAGAGACUUAGAUUUUUGAGGAACCUCCAAACUCUUCUCUGUAGACCUCAAACUAUAAAGAUCCUAGAAGAAAACCCAGGAAAAACUUUUCUGGACAUUGGCCUAGGUAAAGAAUUUAUGACUAAGACCUCAAAAGCAAACUCAGUAAAAACAAAAACAGACAAGCGGGACUUCAUUAAAUUACAAAGCUUUUGCACAGCAAAAGAAAUAACAGAGUAAACAGACAACCUACAGAAUGGAAGGAAAUAUUUACCAGCUAUGCAUCUCACAAAGGACUAAUAUCCAGAAUCUACAAACGGCUCAAAGAACUCAACAAGAAAAGAAGAAAUAACCCCAUUAAAAGGUAGACGAAGGACAUGAACAGACAUUUCUCAAAAGGAGACAUACAGGCAGCCAACAAACAUAUGAAAACAUGUUCAAUAUCACUAAUCUUUCUCAAAAGGAGACAUACAGGCAGCCAACAAACAUAUGAAAACAUGUUCAAUAUCACUAAUCAUCAGCAAAAUGCAAAUUAAAACCACAAUGAGAUAUCAUCUCACCCCAGUCAGAAUGCCUAUUAUUAAAAAGACAAGAAACAACGGAUGUUGGCGAGGAUGUGGAGAAAAGGGAAUGCUUAUGCACUGUUGGCAGGAAUGUAAAUUAGUAUAACCUCUAUGGCAAACAGCAUGGAGAUUUCUCAAAUAACUAAAAAUAGAACCACCAUUUAACACAGCAAUCCCAUUACUGGCUAUCUACUCAAAAGAAAAAAAAAAACGCACGUGCACUCGUAUGUUUAUCAUAACAGUGUUCACAAUAGCAAAGUCAUGAAAUCAACAUAGAUGCCCAUCAGUGGUAGACUGGAUAAAGAAAAUGUGAUGUGUAUGCACUAUGGAAUACUAUGCAGCCAUUAAAAUGAAUGAAGUAAUGUUUUUUGCAGCAACAUGAACAAAGUUGAAUGCCAUUAUGCUAAGUAAAAUAACUCAGAAACAGAAAAUCAAACACCACGUGUUGUUCACUUAUAAGUUAGAGGUAAACAUUGGGUGCACAUGGACAUACAGAAGGGGACAAUAGACACUGAGGACUACAAAAGGGCAGAGGUUAGUUUUGAAAAAUUACCUAUCUGGUACAAUGUUCACUUUUCGGGUGAUGGCUACUGUAGGAGCCCACACAUCACCACCCAAGCAAUAUAUCCACGUAUCAAACUUGCAUAUUACCCCCUCAGUCUAUAAAAAUAAUGAAUGAAUGAAUAAAU
Long non-coding RNA from Pan troglodytes (chimpanzee), 3502 nucleotides. Lineage: Eukaryota; Metazoa; Chordata; Mammalia; Primates; Hominidae. The record is from Ensembl.